CUGCACUGUUCGUAACCUGUUUUCAGCCCUCCGUCUGACUCUGGGUUCCAUUCCAGUGCCACAGGAAGUGCCAGUGAGGCAGGGGAGCUGUGCUUCCUGUGCACGUCUCCCUGUUCACUCUCUGGCAACACAU
This is a small nucleolar RNA of Megalops cyprinoides (Indo-Pacific tarpon), 133 nucleotides long. Lineage: Eukaryota; Metazoa; Chordata; Actinopteri; Elopiformes; Megalopidae. The record is from RefSeq and is a predicted model, not a curated record.